UACACCUGUACUUCUACCAGCAGUGGAGAACAGUGUGAUGAGCUACAUAAGGCUGAGGGUACACCUGUACGUCUACCAGCAGUGGAGAACAGUGUGCAAAUACAAUUUCCAAUUCUAACGCAGUUUAGUUCAACGAAACACCACGACGUCGUUUCACAAAUUGUAAACACAAAAUAUUCAUUUUAUUUGAUGAACUUAAAGACUACACAGAGCCGUUUAAACGGAAAUCUACAUGCUGCCUUUUAUUUACAGCUUAUUUCACUUUCGUUUUCAUAUUUACAGGAAGUCCAAGAAAAGCGCUACAAACACAGUGUUGCGAACAAUCAAAAACAAACAAGCCAAAAGGAGACUUCGGAUCAACAGCGCCUCGUCAUCGACAGUUGUCAGUGCAGUAUUCCACAAUACAAUUACAUUUUCCUUCAUUCGAAAGUAUGCUCUUUUUAAAGGACAGUAAAGUCCUCAUUUUGGACAAAUGUCACAGUAUUAAAAAAUAAAAAAAUAAAAUAAAAUAAGGAAAAUUAAAUGUACUUUGUACAGUAUGUCUGUUGACCAAUAUUGUCCACAUUGAGACACAUUGACUAGUUAAUCACCUGAUUAUCCUCCUCUCUGAAUCUAGGUGAUUGAUGGCAGGAAGUUGACAGAAUUAGUUAGUGCUGCAACUUGAUGGCAGGAAGUUGACAGAAUUAGUUAGUACUGCAACUUGAUGGCAGGAAGUUGACAGAAUUAGUUAGUGCUGCAACUUGAUGGCAGGAAGUUGACAGAAUUAGUUAGUACUGCAACUUGAUGGCAGGAAGUUGACAGAAUUAGUUAGUGCUGCAACUUGAUGGCAGGAAGUUGACAGAAUUAGUUAGUACUGCAACUUGAUGGCAGGAAGUUGACAGAAUUAGUUAGUACUGCAACUUGAUGGCAGGAAGUUGACAGAAUUAGUUAGUGCUGCAACUUGAUGGCAGGAAGUUGACAGAAUUAGUUAGUGCUGCAACUUGAUGGCAGGAAGUUGACAGAAUUAGUUAGUACUGCAACUUGAUGGCAGGAAGUUGACAGAAUUAGUUAGUACUGCAACUUGAUGGCAGGAAGUUGACAGAAUUAGUUAGUGCUGCAACUUGAUGGCAGGAAGUUGACAGAAUUAGUUAGUGCCGCAACUUGAUGGCAGGAAGUUGACAGAAUUAGUUAGUACUGCAACUUGAUGGCAGGAAGUUGACAGAAUUAGUUAGUGCUGCAACUUGAUGGCAGGAAGUUGACAGAAUUAGUUAGUACUGCAACUUGAUGGCAGGAAGUUGACAGAAUUAGUUAGUACUGCAACUUGAUGGCAGGAAGUUGACAGAAUUAGUUAGUGCUGCAACUUGACGUGUGAUCAAAGUGUACCUACCGAGCGAGAGUCAAAACAGACGACACAUCAAUAAUUAAUAACAUCAUUGCUAUCUAGAAAGGACAGCUUUCUAACAGGUUGAAGUGGAUCGCCCUGAAGUGUGUUUUCAGGUGCACUUGGACACAGAGAGUUCAGCUAGCUAUCUGAGACAGCUAAUUAUGUCCACAAGGGUGGUUUCCAAGGCACACCUGGGUUCAGAUCCUACUUGAAAUCUUUCAAUUUACUUUGAGCGUUUGCUUUAGCCUGUCUAGAGUGCCAGGUAGCUCGGGGUUAGCAUUUUGAAGAUUUUCCUAUUCGUUAUUUUGCAACACGCAAGCUCAAUCAAGCACUUGACACAGUAUUUUAAAAAUAUUUGAACCCAGGUGUGUUUCUAAGGUUGUCUGUGUAUAUGAGAGCUUUAAGACUGUUAAGAGCUGCAGGCUGGAACUAACACACCUGGAGGUUCAAUGCCUCCAUCUCAAGACCCAGAACACCUCUGGUCUCAGUACUGAAAGCACUUUAACCCUGGGGCUGUCCUCGGGGUAAAAAAGCUAUGGGUUGUCUGAAACGGCACCCUAUUCCCUAUUUAUAGUGCACUACUUGUGACCAAAGCUCUAUGGGUUCUGAUUAAAAGGAGUGCACACUAACAGGGAUUAGGGUGCCGUUUGGGACAAACAUUUCGUUUUUUUUCUACCCAACCACAAUGUACCACAGGACUCAUCUGGUCCAGGCCAGCAGCCGGUCCAGCCCAGCAGCCGGUCCAGCCCAGCAGCCGGUCCAGGCCAGCAGCCGGUCCAGCCCAGCAGUCGGUCCAGCCCAGCAGCCGGUCCAGGCCAGCAGCCGGUCCAGCCCAGCAGCCGGUCCAGGCCAGCAGCCGGUCCAGCCCAGCAGCCGGUCCAGGCCAGCAGCCGGUCCAGCCCCGCAGCCGGUCCAGGCCAGCAGCCGGUCCAGCCCAGCAGCCGGUCCAGGCCAGCAGCCGGUCCAGCCCAGCAGCCGGUCCAGCCCAGCAGUCGGUCCAGCCCAGCAGUCGAUGUGUUAAAAAGGAGAACAUGUUUUAGUAAUGUCCUGUUUUUUAAGCAUCCAUAUCUCUUCUCACUAGGAACACUUUUCCUUCUCUGCCCUCAGAGCAUUCUUUCAAGGUAGAAAUACACUGAGAAAUACUGCUGAAACAAAAAACACACAUUACUAAAAGAAAACAAUAUUAUUAUGGAUGACAGACUGUUGUAUUCCUCUACAGUAAAUCAAAUAAAAUAAAAAAUACAAGUAAUUCAUGUCAAAUAAAAAUCAUUUUUUCAAACAUAGUCUGCCUUUAUUCCCUUAAGUUUUGUUCAAGAACAACGAGUAGUGAUUAAAGGACGAUAGUUCACAUUGCUGAAUUCAAAUGAUUUUGUUAUACUGUUAUUUUAUAUAGCUAUUUAUUAAAAACAAAAACCAAAGGUAAAAUAAAAUACCGUUCUGUGGUUUAUUAAUACAGACGUUUGAAUGAUUCUUCCACAGUAUGUUCAUCAUCCAGAUGGGAUGUUAGACCUGUUCUGUUAGGACAUCAGGACAGAAAGAGGACAGAUGUUCUGUUAGGACAUCAGGACAGAAAGAGGACAGAUGGGAUGUUAGGACAUCAGGACAGAAAGAGGACAGAUGUUCUGUUAGGACAUCAGGACAGAAAGAGGACAGACGAGAUGUUAGGACAUCAGAACAGAAAGAGGACAGAUGUUCUGUUAGGACAUCAGGACAGAAAGAGGACAGAUGAGAUGUUAGGACAUCAGAACAGAAAGAGGACAGAUGUUCUGUUAGGACAUCAGGACAGAAAGAGGACAGAUUAGAUGUUAGGACAUCAGAACAGAAAGAGGACAGAUGUUCUGUUAGGACAUCAGGACAGAAAGAGGACAGAUGUUCUGUUAGGACAUCAGGACAGAAAGAGGACAGAUUAGAUGUUAGGACAUCAGGACAGAAAGAGGACAGAUGUUCUGUUAGGACAUCAGAACAGAAAGAGGACAGAUGUUCUGUUAGGACAUCAGGACAGAAAGAGGACAGAUGUUCUGUUAGGACAUCAGGACAGAAAGAGGACAGAUGUUCUGUUAGGACAUCAGGACAGAAAGAGGACAGAUGAGAUGUUAGGACAUCAGAACAGAAAGAGGACAGAUGUUCUGUUAGGACAUCAGGACAGAAAGAGGACAGAUGAGAUGUUAGGACAUCAGAACAGAAAGAGGACAGAUGUUCUGUUAGGACAUCAGGACAGAAAGAGGACAGAUUAGAUGUUAGGACAUCAGAACAGAAAGAGGACAGAUGUUCUGUUAGGACAUCAGGACAGAAAGAGGACAGAUGAGAUGUUAGACCUGUUCUGUUAGGACAUCAGAACAGAAAGAGGACAGAUGAGAUGUUAGGACAUCAGGACAGAAAGAGGACAGAUGUUCUGUUAGGACAUCAGGACAGAAAGAGGACAGAUGAGAUGUUAGGACAUCAGAACAGAAAGAGGACAGAUGUUCUGUUAGGACAUCAGGACAGAAAGAGGACAGAUUAGAUGUUAGGACAUCAGAACAGAAAGAGGACAGAUGUUCUGUUAGGACAUCAGGACAGAAAGAGGACAGAUGAGAUGUUAGGACAUCAGAACAGAAAGAGGACAGAUGUUCUGUUAGGACAUCAGAACAGAAAGAGGACAGAUGUUCUGUUAGGACAUCAGGACAGAAAGAGGACAGAUUAGAUGUUAGGACAUCAGAACAGAAAGAGGACAGAUGUUCUGUUAGGACAUCAGGACAGAAAGAGGACAGAUUAGAUGUUAGGACAUCAGAACAGAAAGAGGACAGAUGUUCUGUUAGGACAUCAGGACAGAAAGAGGACAGAUGUUCUGUUAGGACAUCAGGACAGAAAGAGGACAGAUGAGAUGUUAGGACAUCAGAACAGAAAGAGGACAGACGAGAUGUUAGGACAUCAGGACAGAAAGAGGACAGAUAGGAUGUUAGGACAUCAGGACAGAAAGAGGACAGAUUGGCUGUUUGACCUGUUCAGUUUUAGGAAUACGUCCUUGAUCCCAGACAGACAACAACAAAAAAACGUAAUAAAUCAAAGCAAAUACCAACGAUCCAAAAAUAUGUUCUCCCUCUUGUCUGCAUAUUCAGUAGAAUUUCACUUGUUCUGACGCGAGUCAGAAGAUUCGUGGAGCCGAGUCAACCGCUGUAUUAAGACUAGUCCACAGAAAGGUAUUCAGACAGCAUUUAAACAGCAUGCACUGUGGGUGCACUGCACCAGAUUCUCAACCUUCCUUCCUUUAGGGUUUGUUGAUGAGAACAGAUGAAUACCUAGCUUCCUCUGGAAAUAAAACAUGACAACAGGACAAUCACAAAACAAGGUAGGAAGGUAGGAAGGUGCUUGGACAAGUCCAGUGGGUAGUCUUGAUGAGGGGAGGGGAUCGAGGGGUAUGGACAGGAAACAGCACACGUCCUUGUUUGUUUUGCGACAGAAACGACGACAGGGCUGACGCCCAAAGGGGUUCGAGUAUAAAAACGGAGUGGUUUAAAAGAGAAAGUCUUUCCUUGGCUGAGGCGCAGAAAAAGGCAGAACGGAUCGGAGCAAGCUAGACAAUGUGUUGUAGUCAAUCUGUUCUAGUCUGUUCUGGCAGCAGGGUGGACCGAGGAGCCAGUGGAAAUAAUGCAUUACCACCUCUCCUCUCCUCUCCUCUUCCUCUUUCUCCUCCUCUCCAUCUCUCCCGUCCCUCUCCUCUCCUCUCCUCUCCUCUCCUUUCCUCUCCUCUCCUCUCCUCUCCCUCUUUCUCCUCCUCUCCAUCUCUCCCGUCCCUCUCUCUCUUCUCCGGUCCCUCUCUCCUCCUCUCCCUCUCUCCUCUCCUUUCCUCUCCCUCUCUCUCUUCUUCUCCCUCUCUCCUCUCCCGUCCCUCUCUCUCCUCUCCCGUCCCUCUCUCUCCUCUCCCGUCCCUAUCUCUCCUCUCCCUUCCCUAUCUCUCCUCUCCCUUCCCUAUCUCUCCUCUCCCUUCCCUAUCUCUCCUCUCCCGUCCCCAUCCCUCUCUCCUCUCCUCUCCCUCUCUCCUCUCUUGUCCCUAUCUCUCCUCUCCCUUCCCUAUCUCUCCUCUCCCUUCCCUAUCUCUCCUCUCCCUUCCCUAUCUCUCCUCUCCCGUCCCCAUCCCUCUCUCCUCUCCUCUCCUCUCC
Molecule: long non-coding RNA, 5499 nt
Filed under: Salmo salar (Atlantic salmon)
Lineage: Eukaryota; Metazoa; Chordata; Actinopteri; Salmoniformes; Salmonidae
Description: lncRNA (ENSSSAG00000083688.1)
Source: RNAcentral